UCGAGAAUACUUCACAAUGGGGGCAACCCUGAUGGUGCAACGCCGCGUGGAGGAUGAAGGUCUUCGGAUUGUAAACUCCUGUCAUCCGGGAGUAAGACCUGGCUGUGAAUAGCAGACAGGGUUGAUAGUACCGGAAGAGGAAGGGACGGCUAACUUCGUGCCAGCAGCCGCGGUAAUACGAAGGUCCCGAGCGUUGUUCGGAAUCACUGGGCGUAAAGGGAGCGUAGGCGGCGUGGUAAGUCAGAUGUGAAAUCCCGGGGCUCAACCCCGGAACUGCAUCCGAUACUGCCGUGCUAGAGGAUUGGAGAGGUAGCUGGAAUUCUUGGUGUAGCAGUGAAAUGCGUGGAGAUCAAGAGGAACACUCGUGGCGAAAGCGAGCUACUGGACAAUAUCUGACGCUGAGGCUCGAAGGCCAGGGUAGCGAAAGG
RNAcentral lists this ribosomal RNA (428 nucleotides) under uncultured bacterium. Its description in RNAcentral is "bacterial SSU rRNA". It matches the Rfam family "Bacterial small subunit ribosomal RNA", at positions 355 to 775 of the family's 1533-position model. The record is from RNAcentral.